Brassica oleracea var. oleracea is the source of this 191-nucleotide long non-coding RNA. RefSeq lists it as uncharacterized. The transcript is spliced from 3 exons. Lineage: Eukaryota; Viridiplantae; Streptophyta; Magnoliopsida; Brassicales; Brassicaceae. The record is from RefSeq and is a predicted model, not a curated record.
AGGAGAGAAAAAAAAGAUGAAAAUGAAGAUAUGGUCCAUUCGAUUAAAGUGUAAUCCAAUGGACAGGAAUGAAUAUUUGUCAAUCCUUGUGUGAAAGUAGUAGCCAAUGAGAUUUUUUACAAAUUUGUUUUUAUUUUUUUGUUGUCAUAACGUAUGACAAGAGAGCGCAUAGAUAGAUAAAAGGAAGGCGA